This 497-nucleotide ribosomal RNA is filed under the name uncultured bacterium. RNAcentral's name for it is "partial 16S ribosomal RNA". It matches the Rfam family "Bacterial small subunit ribosomal RNA", at positions 28 to 507 of the family's 1533-position model. The record is from RNAcentral.
GAUGAACGCUGGCGGCGUGCCUAAUACAUGCAAGUCGAGCGAGCAGACGAGGAGCUUGCUCCUUUGACGUUAGCGGCGGACGAGUGAGUAACAAGUGGGUAACCUACCUAUAUGACUGGGAUAACUUCGGGAAAACGGAGCUAAUACCGCAUAAUAUUUCGAACCGCAUGGUUCGAUAGUGAAAGAUGGCUUUGCUAUCACUUAUAGAUGGACCUGCGCCGUUUUAGCUAGUUGGUAAGUUAACGGCUUACAAAGGCAACGAUACGUAGCCGACCUGAGAGAGUGAGCGGCCACACUGGAACUGAGACACGGUCCAGACUCAUACGGGAGGCAGCAGGAGGGAAUGUUCCGCAAUGGGCGAAAGCCUGACGGAGCAACGCCGCGUGAGUGAUGAAGGUCUUCGGAUCGUAAAACUCUGUUAUUAGGGAAGAACAAACGUGUAAGUAAUUGUGCACGUCUUGACGGUACCUAAUCAGAAAGCCACGGCUAACUACGUG